RNAcentral lists this ribosomal RNA (329 nucleotides) under uncultured eukaryote. RNAcentral describes it as "partial 18S ribosomal RNA". It matches the Rfam family "Eukaryotic small subunit ribosomal RNA", at positions 1470 to 1796 of the family's 1831-position model. The record is from RNAcentral.
CCCUUAGAUGUCCUGGGCCGCACGCGCGCUACACUGAGUGUCUGAGAUACGAGCCUGCCUGGUCCGGCAAGGUCUAGGUAAGCGCUAAAAGACACAUCAUGCUUGGGAUAGAUUAUUGCAAAUAUUAAUCUUGAACGAGGAAUUCCUAGUAAGCGCAAGUCAACAGCUUGCGUUGAUUACGUCCCUGCCCUUUGUACACACCGCCCGUCGCUACUACUGAUUGGAUGUUUAAGCGAGGUUCUCGAACUGCUAGCGACUUAGCUUCGGUGAGGUCGCAGUGUGGGAAGUGAACCUAGCUUUGGUGUCUAGAGGAAGUAAAAGUCGUAACA